Molecule: ribosomal RNA, 564 nt
Filed under: uncultured Glomeromycotina
Lineage: Eukaryota; Fungi; Glomeromycota
Description: SSU rRNA
Rfam family: Eukaryotic small subunit ribosomal RNA
Source: RNAcentral
UUGGAGGGCAAGUCUGGUGCCAGCAGCCGCGGUAAUUCCAGCUCCAAUAGCGUAUAUUAAAGUUGUUGCAGUUAAAAAGCUCGUAGUUGAAUUUCGGGAUCAGAUUGUCGGUCGUGCCUCGGUACGCACUGGUAUUAUUGGUUCCUACCUUCUGAAAAACCGCGAUGUCUUUAAUUUGGUGUCGUGGGGAAUCAGGACUGUUACUUUGAAAAAAUUAGAGUGUUUAAAGCAGGCUUACGCUUGAAUACAUUAGCAUGGAAUAAUGAAAUAGGACGUUUGAUUCUAUUUUGUUGGUUUCUAGGAUUGACGUAACGAUUAAUAGGGAUAGUUGGGGGCAUUAGUAUUCAAUUGUCAGAGGUGAAAUUCUUGGAUUUAUUGAAGACUAACUACUGCGAAAGCAUUUGCCAAGGAUGUUUUCAUUAAUCAAGAACGAAAGUUAGGGGAUCGAAGACGAUCAGAUACCGUCGUAGUCUUAACCCUAAACUAUGCCGACUAGGGAUCGGAUGAUGUUAAUUUUUUAAUGACUCAUUCGGCGCCUUACGGGAAACCAAAGUGUUUGGGUUC